RNAcentral lists this non-coding RNA (119 nucleotides) under Thermovirga lienii. RNAcentral describes it as "MoCo sequence". It matches the Rfam family "Molybdenum/Tungsten riboswitch aptamer (Moco RNA motif)". Lineage: Bacteria; Thermotogati; Synergistota; Synergistia; Synergistales; Thermovirgaceae. The record is from RNAcentral. RNAcentral also lists the same sequence under 1 other name.
UAGGAAUGUCGUCUCCGAGCCUGAUCGCCUAAAAAUGCACUUCAUGGCGACUGGCCGAUAGGGUGUUUCUGGAAACGGAAACGCCUCCCAUUGCGGAAAGGAGAAACACAAAUUGCCCA